This 227-nucleotide long non-coding RNA is filed under the name Lupinus angustifolius (narrow-leaved blue lupine). RNAcentral's name for it is "long non-coding RNA (LANG_LNC002094)". The record is from RNAcentral. Lineage: Eukaryota; Viridiplantae; Streptophyta; Magnoliopsida; Fabales; Fabaceae.
UAAAGCUUUGCAAAUUGAAGAGAUAUUCUGGAAGGAAAAAGGCUAGAAUUAACUGGCAUAACUUUGGGGACAGAAACACUGCUUACUUUCACAAAAUUGCUAAGAUCAAACAUGUUACUAAAGCCAUGUCUUUGAUUAAGUCUGGUGAUGUGCUGCUCACUGAACAUGAUGCUAUAGCCACUCAUGCUCUUGAUUACUACACUAACCUAUUUGCCUCUCCUAAUUUA